AUGAUCAUCAAGAGCUUCAAUUAUUGCAAUGACAACCUUACACUGAUUAAAAGGUUUAGAAACACAAACCCAAAUCACUUUUUCAAAAUAUUCCUACACAAUGGGAUGGUUGUAGGCAAUUUGGGCCAGAGUCGUUUUCCCAAUACCUCCCAUGCCCACUAAGGGAGAUGAUAUGGAGAUUUCUUUCUAUGGCAUCACUGCUACUAGCCUCACCCAAUAGACCACUCAAUAUAUAACCAAUAUGCUCAUCACGACCAAAAAAUGUUGACUCAUCAACUAAAAACGUAGUCAUUGAUCAGUCCUCAAUGGCAGAACCUCCGCUCAACUCAAAUCCAUACAUCUCUCUUUGAUAUCGUGGCACAGUUUGAGCUUAACCACUUGAUGGAAACAACAUGAAGGGGAGGGGAUGAAGGAGCAUACCUUCUUCUUCCGAACAGGAGGAUCCUUACCAGCAUCUUCUUUUGCUUGUUUCUGAAUAGCUAAUUUGACCAUGUGUUCCACCCCGUCCACCACAUCGUCCAUCUCGUAGCAAGCGUUGGUGAGCUUUUCUGACCAAAGCCUCACAGCUUCUUCCUUAAACUGCCUUCACUCAGCAUCAUUUAGCACCGCCUUCAAUUGUAGAGUUAGGAGAUCGGUGGCUCUGAAAUUCUCUGUGAACGUUGCCAAAGAGAGAUUGGUGCAAGAUUUCUCACAUCCCAUCAAUUCUGAUUAAGAAAGAACAAUUCUUUAAAGUUCGAGUACAGGUGCUAUGAUACAGAGUGGCCAAUAUUCAGCCUUGCAGAAAUCUGUUCUAGUUCGGGAAAGCAAAGCAAAGACAUAUAAUUAUCUUUGGAUCAAUGAUGCGUGGUGAAUGUUGCUGCUCUCUUCUAAGAACUAUUGUCAUACAUCUCCUACAAUGUUGUACCUUUGCCAUGUUUAUCAUGGAUUAGUCUGUCUUCAUUUACAUUCCAGCUUCUCCUUUGAUUAUGUUAUAAUCUUAUUAAGACACUGCUUUCUUUCACGAUUGUGGUCAGCAUUUUGCCAUUUCUUUCUUUAUUUAUUUUCAGAUUUCAAAUAGAUGAAAUGACGCAGAAUCAUACUUGGCAUUUCAUAGAAUACUUGGCAUUUAAUAGAAUUCUAGUGAAGCAGCUAGUGGAGAAUAUAAGGAAAUGUCUUCUUCUUUUUCAUCUUAUUUAAUUUUAUUUAUUCAUUUAUCAAUCACUUACCAUUGCACAAGUUAGCAAAUUGUGAAAUUUGAAGUGAAAAUAGAUGUGUCAGCUGUGCCCACGUGCACAGCUGCACAAACUACACAAGGGUAUUUUUUAAAUUGAUUUCUGCCCGAUAAUAAUCUGUCUUAGAAGAUUAUAAAAGACAAGUUUUAUAAGCACCACCAAAAAAAAAAUCUGAAUGACUUUGCUUGAGAGACAGAAUUUUGUGCCAAGUGAGCUUGCCGGUUUGGUUUAAGAGAAAAGCUACAAUUCAUUUCAGGCGGAUGCUUCCUCCAAUAGAUUGGUUAAUAUCGAAUACAUAUGGCUUUAUUUCCACUGAAAAAGGGGAGGUUUAGGUGGAGCUUUGAGUAUGUCUUGAUGGCUGGCAGGUCCAUGUGGAGUUAGAAUUGUGUUACAGCAUGACUUAGAAGCGAUUAAUAACACUGGUAGGGCUGUUUGGUACUCUUGUUUAAACAACGGUUUUCAGUUUAAACAACAAUAACACUUUUGACACGUAUUUCUAUAACACUCAAACACGUAUUUCCAUAACACUGAAAACUGAACAACAAUACUUAAAUAUUGCUACCAAACGGGCCAAAAGGUCAAAACACUGUACGUGCAGUGUCCUACUAUAAAAAAAUUUUUUUGGAAGCUCAUGGGGCAAUUGACUCUCUGGCCCCUGGCUCGCCCAGUAUUGGCUACAAUCAAGUUGUCUCUCUCAGUUCAAAUACCUGCAUUAAGCCAAGAACCAUGCUGGCCAAUGCAAGAAAGCUAAAUGUCUGUGGCUGUCUCUCUCUCU
Quercus lobata is the source of this 1986-nucleotide long non-coding RNA. RefSeq lists it as uncharacterized. Lineage: Eukaryota; Viridiplantae; Streptophyta; Magnoliopsida; Fagales; Fagaceae. The transcript has 3 exons. The record is from RefSeq and is a predicted model, not a curated record.